RNAcentral lists this long non-coding RNA (2007 nucleotides) under Lupinus angustifolius (narrow-leaved blue lupine). RNAcentral describes it as "long non-coding RNA (LANG_LNC000241)". Lineage: Eukaryota; Viridiplantae; Streptophyta; Magnoliopsida; Fabales; Fabaceae. The record is from RNAcentral.
UAUCAUCUCCAACAAAACGCAUAAAAUGGGAUUUUAAUCCCUAAAUCUAGUACCCAUCUUCUCUUAAUUAGCGGUGGUUAUGGUGAGGUGCGGUGGUUCGAGGUUCGGGUCGUGGUGGUUCCUCGAUGAGGAAGUGGUUCGUGGCUGGGGCCACCUCUUCUCCUCUUCUCUUUUUGACUCGUUCAUGGUAAAGGAUUUAGGAUCCUUAAUUUUUGAUUUCAUCCUUCUUUCCUUCUAUCUUCAAUGGUGACAGUCCAAGGGUUGCUAAUGGUUGAAGCCAAGGCGGCUAGAAUGCAUUGGUGAUGGUGUGUGGUGGUUGUCAGUGAUGAGUUCGCUCAGAUGGUGGUGACGUGGUGGUUUCCAAUUUGGGCACUUAUUCUCACAGUUUUAUUCUCACAGAGGCUCCUUAAAACAGAGGGAGGAAACCAACAGGGUCGGCGUAUGGUGGCAUUAAUAACGUGAUGAAAGCAGUGUAACUGUGACUCCACGAUUGGUUAUUGGCAAAUGAUUUUGGUAAAGAACCCUAUCCCUCUUUCAAUCUAACUUUACUUAUUUGACAUAGUAUGAAGUAAUUAUUGAUAUGAGGAAAAACGAAUUGGUAUGAAUGUUUGUCCAGAAACAAAUUUCAUUUCAAAAUUGCUUUAAAGGAAUUAUUGAACAUUAGUUACUUUUGUCCUUAGCCAAACGUCAGUUUAUGCAUUUUUUAUAACCAGUCGAAUGAGAAUGGGCUGUAUAUAUCUUUGUGUAAUCAAGAAGAAUGUUUAUAAUUGAGCAUAUAAAUUCCAAAUACAGAUUAGCAACCAAAUGAAAGGAAUAUGCUUGUUACCUUAUAACCUUGUUGUAAUUGCCUUUUUCUUUGUGUUCCUGAUCAAAAACCAAUCUUUUUUUUUUGUGUAUAUGGGAUGCCUAGUAACAAAAAUGUGUUUCUCUCUGAUCGUGUAUUCUCUGUUUGGGGCUAUGUAAGUGUAUGUGUAUUCUUUUUGCAUGAUAGCUAUGCUUGUGUAUAUUCCCUCCUUUGAUAGUUCUAUACAUUUUUAUACUGAUCAUACUGCACUGCAUUUUUACCCACUUUGAAACUGCUCAAUAACUAUUUUCAUUCAUGUUGGUUACUCAUGAGUGUGUAAUUGAAAUGGAAUAUGCCAAACAACCACGACUUCUGGUUUGCAUCUCUUUUAAUUUUCUACAGGGCUGAAUCAUUUUUUCUUGUACUUUUUAUCCAAUAAUAUCUCCUGCUGUAACUGUUAGGAUAGAGGAUAUUCUCUAAUGAUUGCUUUAAUUUACAGAUUAUUCCAAUUAAAGCUGUCCAUUAAUAGUGAUUAUGUGCAUAGGUAACUACUGAGAUGCUUUCUGGUUUGCCUUUCAAGUAUACCUCUUGGCUGACUCAUUUUCUUUCCUCUUGAUGUAUAAUAUAACAGUUUGCAAAGAAAAUAUCUAGGCUGCCUAAUCUUUUGGUUUAUAUUUUGUCAGGUUCUCAUCUCCAGUUCUAAGAAGCAAAGUAGGAUUAAAUCCCGACAUGAAGGAGGCUUCUUGCUUGGUUGAAUGUCACAUCUAGUUUCAAAUGGGACUAUCUUGAAAGCUUUUGUUGGAUAGAUUGUAUGAUUCUUCAAGUCUAUUUGAUUGAGACUCUUGAGCAUUUGGCCUACACUGCUACGUAUCCUGGAUGUCUGAUGGUUUCUUAUGGCAGUUUCUUUUUGUUGAUUCUUUCUCUUUUUAGUUUUUUUAGCACGUGAUGUUUGAAUUGCCUUUUGAAGCAAAGAUUUCUAGUUCUUGUAUGAUUACGAAGAUAUCUCAACGGCCAGAAACAUAUUGAGGACAAUUAGGUACAAAUCAUAAAGCAAUAUUGUAAAUAUUAGAAUAUAUGGGUACAAACACAUCAUAUGAUUACACAUAAGCAUUAUUGGAGAAUCUAAGGCAACAUGAAAAGCAUUAUUUUAGAGUUGGACGGAUAUUUGUUAAUUAGUUAGCAUUAUCUGGGAUCACAUCACUAUUGGUUAAUGACAAACAUCA